RNAcentral lists this RNase P RNA (433 nucleotides) under Prevotella sp. RNAcentral describes it as "RNase P RNA component class A". It matches the Rfam family "Bacterial RNase P class A". From Rfam's summary of the family: Ribonuclease P (RNase P) is a ubiquitous endoribonuclease, found in archaea, bacteria and eukarya as well as chloroplasts and mitochondria. The record is from RNAcentral. Lineage: Bacteria; Pseudomonadati; Bacteroidota; Bacteroidia; Bacteroidales; Prevotellaceae.
GCACUGCCCCAGCUUGUCGCUGGCCUUUCUGAAAGGAAAGACGGGAGGAAAGUCCGGGCAGCAUAGGAUGCUCCACUUCUGAAAGUAGAAGCAGUUGGUGACAGCUGGAUACGGAAGAAGAGAAUGACCGCCCAUGAAAAACGUCGGCUUAGGCUCUGCAAGGAGAACCAAGUUGGCGGGGUAAGGGUGAGAAGGUGUGUGUAAGAGACCACCAGCCGUCGGGUGAUCGGCGGGCUGUUCCGUCUGGAGGCUGCAAGUUCAUGUAAACCAUCGUUGCCCCUUGUGGGCUGAAGGGUUGUCCGCCCGAAUAGAUUCUAUGCGAUGGAGGGUAGAACGCUGGAGACGCAUGGCGACGUGCGUAGUAGAUAAAUGGCAGGCACUGACUGCUGAAUGGCAGUCAGGACAGAACCCGGCUUAUCGGGGCAGUGCUUUC